UACAGGGGGUGCAAACGUUGCUCGGAAUCAUUGGGCGUAAAGCGCACGUAGGCGGUUCGUUAUGUCGGAUGUGAAAGCCCUUGGCUUAACCGAGGAAGUGCAUCCGAAACUGGCGAGCUAGAGUACGAAAGAGGAUCGCGGAAUUCCCGGUGUAGAGGUGAAAUUCGUAGAUAUCGGGGAGGAACACCGGUGGCGAAGGCGGUUCUCUGGGCAUGUCCUGACGCUGAGGAGCGAAAGUGUGGGGAGCGAACAGG
RNAcentral lists this ribosomal RNA (254 nucleotides) under uncultured bacterium. RNAcentral's name for it is "partial 16S ribosomal RNA". It matches the Rfam family "Bacterial small subunit ribosomal RNA", at positions 524 to 776 of the family's 1533-position model. The record is from RNAcentral.